GAUGAAGAACGUAGCGAAAUGCGAUACUUGGUGUGAAUUGCAGAAUCCCGUGAACCAUCGAGUCUUUGAACGCAAGUUGCGCCCGAAGCCAUUAGGCCGAGGGCACGCCUGCCUGGGCGUCACACGUCGUUGCCCCCCCAUCUACUCCUUCGGGAUUGCGGGGGGCGGAUGAUGGCCUCCCGUGCGCCUCGCCGCGCGGUUGGCAUAAAUGCCAAGUCCUCGGCGACGCACGCCACGACAAUCGGUGGUUGCGAAACCUCGGUUGCCCGUCGUGUGCGGUCGUCGCGCAUCGAGGGCCCGAAAAAAUUGCCGGGUUCCGGCUCGGCUUUCAACGCGACCCCAGGUCAGGCGGGGUUACCCGCUGAAUUUAAGCAUAUCAAUAAGCGGAGGA
RNAcentral lists this unclassified non-coding RNA (391 nucleotides) under soil metagenome. RNAcentral describes it as "partial contains 5.8S ribosomal RNA, internal transcribed spacer 2, and large subunit ribosomal RNA". The stretch from base 1 to 122 matches the Rfam family "5.8S ribosomal RNA", at positions 35 to 154 of the family's 154-position model. The record is from RNAcentral.